CGAAGGGCUAGCGUUGCUCGGAAUUACUGGGCGUAAAGGGAGCGUAGGCGGACAUUUAAGUCAGGGUGAAAUCCCAGAGCUCAACUCUGGAACUGCCUUUGAUACUGGGUGUCUUGAGUGUGAUAGAGGUAUGUGGAACUCCGAGUGUAGAGGUGAAAUUCGUAGAUAUUCGGAAGAACACCAGUGGCGAAGGCGACAUACUGGAUCAUUACUGACGCUGAGGCUCGAAAGCGUGGGAGCAAACAGGAUU
RNAcentral lists this ribosomal RNA (250 nucleotides) under uncultured bacterium. RNAcentral's name for it is "partial 16S ribosomal RNA". It matches the Rfam family "Bacterial small subunit ribosomal RNA", at positions 528 to 779 of the family's 1533-position model. The record is from RNAcentral.